Molecule: long non-coding RNA, 515 nt
Organism: Oreochromis aureus
Lineage: Eukaryota; Metazoa; Chordata; Actinopteri; Cichliformes; Cichlidae
Source: Ensembl
CAGUCUCCGCUGUGCACGGCUCCGAGUGAGUCUGUUCUCAGCUGAAGUGCAGACCGGUGAAAAACAGUGAGCGGAUAGUUAGAGCAAACUGGGGUUAGUAUCUUGCCCAAGGAUGCUUGACAUGCAGACUGGAGGAGCCAGGGAUCGAACCACCAACCUUCCGAUCAGUAGGUGACCUGCUCUACCUCCGGAGCUACAGCCACCCCACCCAGGACUCUCAUUGUACUGCCUCAGCAAAUAGCACAGCUUCAACGUCAUUUAAGUUUUUUCCUGCUCGCACAGAACGAUAAGGUUACGAAACCACAGAAGAUUACCGUUUCACUCCCUCAAUCCAGUCUUGAGUCUUUUCCAAAUGGGUUUGAUAUUCAAAUUUGUAUGCUUGGCAUUUGCUUUUCCCUGCUGCAGCCACAAAAUGAGGUAAAAAGUGGGGAAAGUGAACCAGAACACUGAAUUAGUAAGCCAUAUGACUGUAUAACCUUGUUUGCCAGAAUGAUAGAGUAAUCCUUGAGACGUGA